UACGAAGGGGGCUAGCGUUGUUCGGAAUCACUGGGCGUAAAGGGCGCGUAGGCGGCUGUUCAAGUCGGGGGUGAAAUCCUGUGGCUCAACCACAGAAUGGCCUUCGAUACUGGACGGCUAGAGACCGGAAGAGGUGAGUGGAACUGCGAGUGUAGAGGUGAAAUUCGUAGAUAUUCGCAAGAACCCCAGUGGCGAAGGCGGCCCACUGGUCCGGUUCUGACGCUGAGGCGCGAAAGCGUGGGGAGCAAACAGG
RNAcentral lists this ribosomal RNA (253 nucleotides) under uncultured bacterium. RNAcentral describes it as "partial 16S ribosomal RNA". It matches the Rfam family "Bacterial small subunit ribosomal RNA", at positions 524 to 776 of the family's 1533-position model. The record is from RNAcentral.